AGUGAACGCUGGCGGUAGGCCUAACACAUGCAAGUCGAACGGCAGCACAGUAAGAGCUUGCUCUUACGGGUGGCGAGUGGCGGACGGGUGAGGAAUACAUCGGAAUCUACUUUUUCGUGGGGGAUAACGUAGGGAAACUUACGCUAAUACCGCAUACGACCUACGGGUGAAAGCAGGGGAUCUUCGGACCUCGCGCGAUUGAAUGAGCCGAUGUCGGAUUAGCUAGUUGGCGGGGUAAAGGCCCACCAAGGCGACGAUCCGUAGCUGGUCUGAGAGGAUGAUCAGCCACACUGGAACUGAGACACGGUCCAGACUCCUACGGGAGGCAGCAGUGGGGAAUAUUGGACAAUGGGCGCAAGCCUGAUCCAGCCAUACCGCGUGGGUGAAGAAGGCCUUCGGGUUGUAAAGCCCUUUUGUUGGGAAAGAAAAGCAGCAGGUUAAUACCCCGCUGUUCUGACGGUACCCAAAGAAAAAGCACCGGCUAACUUCGUG
Molecule: ribosomal RNA, 492 nt
Filed under: uncultured bacterium
Lineage: Bacteria
Description: partial 16S ribosomal RNA
Rfam family: Bacterial small subunit ribosomal RNA
Source: RNAcentral